This 252-nucleotide ribosomal RNA is filed under the name uncultured prokaryote. RNAcentral's name for it is "partial 16S rRNA". It matches the Rfam family "Archaeal small subunit ribosomal RNA", at positions 475 to 726 of the family's 1478-position model. The record is from RNAcentral.
ACCGGCAGCUCAAGUGGUGGCCAUUUUUAUUGGGCCUAAAGCGUUCGUAGCCGGUGUGACAAGUCUCUGGUGAAAUCCCGCAGAUUAACUGUGGGACUUGCUGGAUAUACUAUUAGACUUGAAGUCGGCAGAGGUUAGGGGUACUCCCAGGGCAGGAGUGAAAUCCUAUCAUCCUGGGAGGAAUACCUGUGGCGAAUGGGCCUAACUGUAACGAACCUGACCGUCAAAAACGAAAGCCAGGGGCGCGCACUG